RNAcentral lists this ribosomal RNA (253 nucleotides) under uncultured bacterium. Its description in RNAcentral is "partial 16S ribosomal RNA". It matches the Rfam family "Bacterial small subunit ribosomal RNA", at positions 524 to 776 of the family's 1533-position model. The record is from RNAcentral.
UACGAAGGGUGCGAGCGUUGUCCGGAAUUAUUGGGCGUAAAGGGUGCGUAGGUGGCGCCGUAAGUCAGGUGUGAAAUCUCGGGGCUUAACUCCGAAACUGCAUUUGAUACUGCGGUGCUUGAGGACUGGAGAGGAGACUGGAAUUUACGGUGUAGCAGUGAAAUGCGUAGAGAUCGUAAGGAAGACCAGUGGCGAAGGCGAGUCUCUGGACAGUCACUGACGCUGAGGCACGAAGGCCAGGGGAGCAAACAGG